This 392-nucleotide ribosomal RNA is filed under the name Umbilicaria decussata. Its description in RNAcentral is "mitochondrial SSU rRNA". It matches the Rfam family "Bacterial small subunit ribosomal RNA", at positions 359 to 752 of the family's 1533-position model. Lineage: Eukaryota; Fungi; Ascomycota; Lecanoromycetes; Umbilicariales; Umbilicariaceae. The record is from RNAcentral.
GAAUAUUGGUCAAUAGCCUAACGGCUGAACCAGCAACUUGGAGGAAUGUAUAGCGAAAGCUAGUUGUAUUAGCAGGCAAUGGUUAAUACAAUAUCGACUAUGUCGACUAAAGUUCUAGGUAGAGUAAUGAUAAUGACAUUUUUUACCUAUGUGUCUUGACCAAGUCACGUGCCAGCAGUCGCGGCAAUACGUGGAAGACGAGUGUUAUUCAUCUUUAAUAGGUUUAAAGGGUACCCAGACGGUAUAUUUAGCCCAAAAAAGGUACUAAAUAAACUAGAGUUUAAUGUGAGGGGGAUCUAUAGUACUAAUGGUGUAGAGAUGAAAUUCUGUGAUACCAAGAGGUAACUGGUAACGGCGAAAGCAACCCUUUAUGCAAAAACUGACGUUGAAGG